Molecule: RNA transcript, 3059 nt
Organism: Olea europaea var. sylvestris
Lineage: Eukaryota; Viridiplantae; Streptophyta; Magnoliopsida; Lamiales; Oleaceae
Exons: 2
Source: RefSeq, a predicted model, not a curated record
GAAGAUGCCUGGUAAUGGGCUGAAGUUGGAGAAUCUGAAUCUGGACAGUAGAAACAAAAAGGAAUUGCUGAAGCAGAUAGGGUUGGACUACUGUAUAGAGCUGGCCGAACAUGUCAAAGACAGGAAUGAGUUAGUAAGGCAGGCCCAAAUGAAUUACAGUAGCCUAAACCACUUAAAUCCAGCUUCUAGCCCACUUAUACACUCUUAUGCAGCCCUUUUCAUACUCAAUUAACCUACGUAAUCCACCCUAAAAACCAUCACAUUAUUCUCGUUUUUAGCCUCGAUCUGCUGCAAUUGGGAAAACGGUUAUUUCACUGGUGGAGGGAGAAGAUUAAAAUCGAGCAUCACAGAGAAGAUGCACACAGCUUUCUGGAAAUUUCAGUCAAAAUCAAUAAAGCGGGAGACAGCACAGUUGGACGGAGUAGCCAGGAGGAUUCAGGAAGAAUGGAGAACCGGUUGGGCCAUGAGAAAUCUACCAUCAGAGAAAAUCGGAGAUUUAUGAAAAUCAUAUCAGCGCCGUGGUCGGUGAUAUCAGAUGGAGUACUGGGGAAAAAUCUCGUCUUUGGGCUGAGUUCGUUGGAUAAGGAUGAGGUCUCCAGUGAUAAAGAAAUUCCAGCCUCGAAGCAUUCGGAAUUGGGGGGCUCAGAGACAGCCAUGAAAGAACACCAAUGUCAACCUUUCGAGGCUCCACUGUCAUCGUCAGAAGGGAAGUCAGAACACUACGUGGAGGGGUUCUGAAUGCAUGAUAUGGAGACCACGAUGAAGAAAUGGGAAGGGACUGGGCUUGAAAUUAAGGCUGACUUUCAUAGAAAAAAACCUAUGGGCUAUGAUUUGAGGUUGGGCCAAGAAGUUGAAGAUCAAAAUGAAUCCUCGAGGCAGGUCCCAUGUCCAGAUAAGAAUGAAUUAGUGAGAAUGGCCCAAAUGAAGCAGGCCCAGUUAAACUUUGGCCCAUCUAGAUCUAAAAUUAAUGUAGAUAACCCAAGCCCACAACUCCUUUAUUUCCCAGUCGACACACACAACCCGCCUGUUAAUCAAAGUUCAUCUUCAGUUUCAAUCCCAAGAUCAGUUUUCAUUACUCCAAAAUUCGAUAAACCAAAGCAAUCACAACCACCAAAUCAACUUACUGUUUUAGAGCUUCGAAAGAGGAGGGAAAAUGGUUUAUGCCUUCAUUGUGACGAGGAAAAGCCAGUGGACAAUAAUUUUGAAAAUCAGGGGUUACAGGUGUUGGUGGUAAUUGAUGAUUUAGAGGAAGUAUGCUUCACAGAGGUGGAAAAAGGGGAUGGGAAAAAAAAUGGAGCUUCCGAGGAUGAAGUUUCGGGGGUAGAUUGGUCAUGACCGUAUGAUAUUAUAAACCGAUGGUGCAGCCAUUUAUAAUGUGUUUACAACUCAUCGGGUUCAAAAAUUGGAAAGCUAGCAAAGGGGUGCUACCGGUUAUGGGAUUUGCAUGAAUAACAUUCUAAAUGUUGGCAGUCGGCACAAGAACUUCUUAAUGGCAUGUGGACUAAAAUAUCGCAUUUCGGCAUUUGGCAUGGUGGGAGUUCUAAUCAAAGAAAUGAUGCAGUAACAUAAAAUUCCGAAUUUUAAAGUUGAAUCACACUUCCACCUUGAGGACAAGGUGGAUGUUGGGGCAGGGGGUAAUGAUAGACCCUCACCUCAAAUAUUCCAAUACAAGUUGUUAUUAGUUCACUAUUCUAGAGAAUUCCAUAGUUAGUUGGCAAAAGGGUAGAAUUGUAAUAACAAACUAGUAAAUUCUCUAUAAAUGUUUGAAUAAACAGUAUAGUAAUUCCUUGUUCACAACCCAUCAUUCCCAGCUAAUUCAUACUGCUUAUUUCGUCAAUUACAUCUGCACUUUCCAUUACAUAAAUCAGCCACCAUAUUGACUACCUAACUAGAUCCAGUAAUCACCCACAACACGGGUUCAUCAACAGCUUCACAGGUCCAGAUCAUCGACUCUAUUAAUCAGCAACAGAAUUCAACAGAAGCAAUCAGGAUCCUAUCAGAUUGCUACCCUUUGGCAGCAUUUUCAUUGAGAUUUAUUUCGUUUUCACCUCCUUCUGGAAUUACAAGGCCUCAUUACUAGGAUCGGCUUCCAUGGUGUCCAAGUCAAAGAAAAAUUGGGUGCCAGCAACUAUUUAUAGAGCUGUGUAUUCAUGGUUGAUGGUUGUACCACCAGAAUCUCCAUGAUGUAAUUGGAUCGAGCACUAUGUACAAGUUGACAAUCUAAUAAUUUUGCUGGCAGACUCCAAAGAAACAAUAGAGUCAGUUUCAUUCUAGCUUAGGUAAUGCAUGGUGAAAUAAGAGUGCUUAAGUACUCAUUUUCUGUCCUUUGUUUUCUUAUUGGUGAGGAGAUCAGUGAGUAGUGGUGAAUGGCGUGACCAAUUUAAAGAGGAAGAGAACAAUGAUAAGGACAUGAACCAAUCUGUCCAAAAAUAAAGAAGCUCUGUGAGAACUGUUUUCUGUUGUGAAAGUUAUAUAUUGGCUUCAUUGUAUGGUUAGGGUUAUCUCUAAAAUUCAUUAGUGCUCUAUUCCUCUUCCAUCCCCUUUUGUAGUAAUUCAAAUUUUUGCAGAAGGCCUGUUUUCUUUCUUUCUUUUCCUUUUAAACAAACGGAGGACCUGUUGUAAAGGUCUCAAAAGGGCAAUCUUGUUUAAUUUUUUUACCAUAAUGAGAAAAGAUGGUAUAUUCAUAAUUUGAUGUAUUGGAUAAACCAUUUCUUCUGUUGCUUCUUGUUUUUGGCAGGUGUACUAUGUCUAUGGCUUUAUGCUUCUGGUGUUCCUAAUUCUUGUCGUUACUGUCUGUGUCACAAUUGUUGGAAUAUAUUUCCUGCUAAAUGCUGAGAAUUAUCAAUGGCAAUGGACUCCCUUCUUCUCGGCAUUCUCAACGGCCUUCUAUGUGUACUUGUACUUAAUAUAUUACUACUACUUGAAGACAUAGAUGUCCGGGGUUUUCCAGACUAGCUUCUACUUUGGAUAUACACUGAUGUUUUGUCUUGGUCUAGGAAUCCUCUGUGGUGAGUAAAAAUUAUGACCAAUUGUUUUAUUGAAGUUACUUUUGCUGGCUC